GCUGAGCUCAGUAGUGUGAGCUUGUAACCUAAGUGGGAGUAAUAAGAUGAUUGGGACAAAUCAAAGCUUCAAGCCUUGACGUAAAUAGAGGGUUCGUUUGGGAUUAUGCGAUGCUGGUGUAGUAUGAAGUAUUGUUAUUCCAACACUAAUAAUACUUUGACAUAGCAGUGUGUGUAGAUGGGGUAACUCUCCCAUCAUUGGCUGGCUUAACAGAGCAGCUCUCUCGCAUAAUCACAAAUCCUCGCUAGAUAUGUCAAGCAGUUAUUAGUCUGGACCAUCACCUUU
This 285-nucleotide non-coding RNA is filed under the name Solanum tuberosum (potato). The record is from RNAcentral. Lineage: Eukaryota; Viridiplantae; Streptophyta; Magnoliopsida; Solanales; Solanaceae.